GGGAGCAUGCCUGCGCCACGGAAAGGCUUCAGUCUUAAUGCCGUGUCCUCUGCGUGCGCACUGCCUCCCGCUUCCACGCUCUCCCUCUCUACUGUUGAGUGCAUAAGAGCGGUUUCCUCUGCAGACCACUUUGCAAAGCUCCGUGCAACAAGUUUGCAGGAGCAGCAGCGGCACGCCGUCACGCAGGUUGACUUCCCUCGGCUGGAGCUUGAGCGGCGCUCCACUCAUCCAUCUGUCGCUGUCACCACAAAGUCACCGUACGUGAACGCAGCAUUGCAGGCGCACACACGCACGCUCACUCACUCACUCACACGGAGCAGAGUGCCAUAAAUUCGUGACUCCGCGCCAGAUGCGGUUUGCUCUCAGCAGCGCGUGGAGUUAUUAGUUAAAUGGAGAACGCGGUGGCGAGAGGAGCAUCUAAGUGCGUGGAAAAAAUGGAGAAAGAAGUGUCGCCCAGGCAGAAGCGACACUACUGCCGCACGACUGCGCUGAACGUCUUCUCCUCGUUUUGCUCCGUGGCGUCCGUCGCCUUCUGCAUUUUCCUGAGCAUUAGCGGAGCUGACAUCAAGAACCGAGUUGUGGAUUUGGAGAGUGCCAAAGGCGAGCACACCUUCACCCGUACCCCCGGCUACUCCGUGGAGGAUUUCAAUUCACUGAUAGAGGAAAGAGUGGACGAGCUGCUCUCUCAGCGCUCCUAUGAGAAUUUCGUCAAGAUUCGGACCGCCAGACAAACAUCACCUGAAUGCAACUGCCCUCCAGGACCUCCGGGAAAGCGGGGAAGAAGAGGCCGUAAUGGAGACCCUGG
Molecule: long non-coding RNA, 805 nt
Organism: Oreochromis aureus
Lineage: Eukaryota; Metazoa; Chordata; Actinopteri; Cichliformes; Cichlidae
Source: Ensembl